RNAcentral lists this unclassified non-coding RNA (239 nucleotides) under Ascomycota sp. Its description in RNAcentral is "partial contains small subunit ribosomal RNA, internal transcribed spacer 1, and 5.8S ribosomal RNA". The stretch from base 1 to 47 matches the Rfam family "Eukaryotic small subunit ribosomal RNA", at positions 1785 to 1831 of the family's 1831-position model. The record is from RNAcentral. Lineage: Eukaryota; Fungi; Ascomycota.
AAAGUCGUAACAAGGUUUCCGUAGGUGAACCUGCGGAAGGAUCAUUACAGUGUUUCUCUGCCCUCACGGGUAGAAACGCCCACCCUUGUAUAUUAUAUCUUUGUUGCUUUGGCAGGCCGCCCUCGGGCACCGGCUCCGGCUGGACUGUGCCUGCCAAAGGAAACCCAAACUCUGAAUGUUAGUGUCGUCUGAGUACUAUCUAAUAGUUAAAACUUUCAACAACGGAUCUCUUGGUUCUG